This 64-nucleotide transfer RNA is filed under the name Cavia porcellus (domestic guinea pig). It matches the Rfam family "tRNA", at positions 1 to 62 of the family's 71-position model. From Rfam's summary of the family: Transfer RNA (tRNA) molecules are approximately 80 nucleotides in length. Their secondary structure includes four short double-helical elements and three loops (D, anti-codon, and T loops). Lineage: Eukaryota; Metazoa; Chordata; Mammalia; Rodentia; Caviidae. The record is from Rfam by way of RNAcentral.
GGGGGUUUAGCUCAGCGGCAUAAGCGCCUGCCUUGCAAGCAGGUGGUCGUGAGUUCGAUCCCCA